CCUCCGCCGCUCUCUCACGGACUCCCCUACUGUGGUGAUGGAAGAGGAGGGGUC
This 54-nucleotide unclassified non-coding RNA is filed under the name Macacine alphaherpesvirus 1. The record is from RNAcentral. Lineage: Duplodnaviria; Heunggongvirae; Peploviricota; Herviviricetes; Herpesvirales; Orthoherpesviridae.